Molecule: ribosomal RNA, 1324 nt
Filed under: metagenome
Description: bacterial LSU rRNA
Rfam family: Bacterial large subunit ribosomal RNA
Source: RNAcentral
AGUGGAUGGGGAGCAACCUAGUUGUGCGUGUGUAAAGGUAGUGCCAAGAAAAGCGAUGAUCAUGUUGAAAAUCAAUUCCCGGUACCCGAAACCGACACAGGUGGGCAAGUAGAGAAUACUAAGGGGCGCGAGGUAACUCUCUCCAAGGAACUCGGCAAAAUGACCCCGUAACUUAGGGAGAAGGGGUGCCACCGAGAGGUGGUCGCAGUGAAGAGGCCCAGGCGACUGUUUAGCAAAAACAUAGGUCUCUGCAAACUCGAAAGAGGAGGUAUAGGGGCUGACGCCUGCCCAGUGCCGGAAGGUUAAAGAAGUUGGUCAGUUUUAGGAUGAAGCUAGCGACUGAAGCCCCGGUGAACGGCGGCCGUAACUAUAACGGUCCUAAGGUAGCGAAAUUCCUUGUCGGGUAAGUUCCGACCCGCACGAAAGGCGUAACGAUCUGGGCGCUGUCUCGGAGAGAGGCUCGGCGAAAUAGGAUUGUCUGUGAAGAUACGGACUACCUGCAUUUGGACAGAAAGACCCUAUGAAGCUUUACUAUAGCUUGGAAUUGUGUUCGGGCUUCCUGUGCGCAGGAUAGGUGGGAGGCGUAGAAGGUAUUCUUGUGGGGAUACUGGAGCCAACGGUGAGAUACCACUCUCAGGAGGCUAGAAUUCUAACUUAAUUAAGGACAGUUUCAGGUGGGUAGUUUGACUGGGGCGGUCGCCUCCAAAAAGGUAACGGAGGCGUACAAAGGUUCCCUCAGACUGGUUGGAAAUCAGUCGAAGAGUGCAAAGGCAGAAGGGAGCUUGACUGCGAGAAGUACAGUUCGAGCAGGGUGGAAACACGGUCUUAGUGAUCCGACGGUGCUGUGUGAAGGGCCGUCGCUCAACGGAUAAAAGUUACUCUAGGAUAACAGGCUGAUCUCCCCCAAGAGUUCACAUCGACGGGGAGGUUUGGCACCUCGAUGUCGGCUCAUCGCAACCUGGGGCGGAAGUACGUCCCAAGGGUUGGGCUGUUCGCCCAUUAAAGCGGUACGUGAGCUGGGUUCAGAACGUCGUGAGACAGUUCGGUCCAUAUCCGAUGUAGGCGUGAGAAUAUUGAGAGGAGCCUUCCUUAGUACGAGAGGACCGGGAAGGACGCACCGCUGGUGUACCUGUUAUGAUGCCAAUUGUAAACGCAGGGUAGCCAAGUGCGGAGAGGAUAACCGCUGAAAGCAUCUAAGUGGGAAGCCCACCUCAAGAUGAGUAUUCUGGUGUAAGGUCACGGGAAGACGACCCGUAAAUAGGCACGAGGUGGAAGUGCAGAGAUGUAUGAAGCCGAAGUGUACUAAUAGACCGUCGGCUUGACC